UCAGCUCAGUGCUUGUGUAGUUCUUCCGG
This 29-nucleotide non-coding RNA is filed under the name Homo sapiens (human). Lineage: Eukaryota; Metazoa; Chordata; Mammalia; Primates; Hominidae. The record is from RNAcentral.